CUGCAUCUCUCAGUAAUACUAAACCAUUAGUCAUGCCUGGGUCAGUGAUGUGUCAAUAACAGAAUAAUUAUUGAAGAUAGCCUUAAGAGGAAGGACAUCAGCCUCAAAUCAGCAUUAGCUCAACUCAAACCGCCACCAGGGCUUGUUGAAUAAAUGAAUGCAUGUCUAAUAAAAGGCCUCUUUACAUCUGGAGACCUAAAGACUGUUGAUUCCAUUAAUCCAAAGGGUUAUUUGUAGCUGCUAAACACGUUUUUAGACCAAUAAGUGACAGGCUUUUACUCCUGCUGACUGCAACCCACCCUUCUCAAGUAGAACAAAUUCACUGUACUUAAUGGCUCUGGCAUUUUAAAAGGAAGUUGGUCAGCAGGGCUGUUUGGAACAUCUGCACCUUUGCAGAACACUAAAUGCAGGGGAGAAACUCUUCCCACUCACAGGAGAUGCAAUCUUGAGAUUCUGAAAUCAGGGUGCCUCCAAACUCUGCGCUAGACCUCUGGUGGAAACCAAACAGCGAGGUGCUAAUAAAAGAAAUAAGGGACACUCAGAGAGGCAGCGCAGCUCAACAAUUAACAUCAGAAACGCAGGAAAUAGAUAUGCACACAGGGAGAGCACCAUGUGAAGAUGGCAAUUGUGCUGCCAGAAGCCAAGGAACUCCCAGAAGCUGGGAGAGAGGCCUGGAACACAUCCUUGGCAUUAACAAUAAGGUUAAUUUAUUGGCUGAUACAACUGAAAGCCCAGAAAUCAUGAGACAGUUUGAUGAGGGCUCUGGCUCCAAUUUUUUAUAUUCUCUUGGAUCUUCCUUUUUUAAGUGCCACCUUUAACUUUAGGCUAGCUUCCCUCUUGAGGACAAAAUGGAAGCUAUAGUUUAGGGUUCACAUUCCCAUACCAGAUUAUUCAGAAAAAUCAAGCUUCCCAAGCAAUGGCCUAAAGUCAUAAGCCAUUGACAUUUACCUCUGCAUCAAUCACCAUGACAGAAGGGAAGGAAUUUUGCUGAUUGAUUUAAGCCAAUGAGGGUACAUACCUGAACCUGGCAGUGGGGGUAGUCCCAGUCAACCUCAUGGCUGCUCUUCCAAUGGAGAAAUAAAUGCUAAGAGAAGCAUGACAGCAAACCCAAGCAUUCAUUCAGAUAUUCAGUACUGCCAGCUGAGCCCUUUCAUGGUGUUGUAUAAAACUGAAAUGGUGGUAAUUGCUACAAAUGAUGU
RNAcentral lists this long non-coding RNA (1199 nucleotides) under Homo sapiens (human). RNAcentral describes it as "non-protein coding lnc-CREB1-8:1". The record is from RNAcentral. Lineage: Eukaryota; Metazoa; Chordata; Mammalia; Primates; Hominidae.